GUGCGGGGCAGUGUGUGUGCUCGUGUGUUACUGUGUGUGUGUGUUCCACUGCUAAGCCCGACGAAUUACGCAAAAUCUUUUCGAACUCUACCGAGCGUUAUUUCGAAUUACCUAUUUCGAACCUUUUACUCUUUUUGAUUUAGUGUUGAGUGUUUAGUGUGUCCUUUCACUGCACCGGAGCCAGGACUUGUUAGGGGCUCCUGAAGUAGGGGGGCGCCUCCCCCAGGCAGCCCCGAUGAGGUGAUGCUAUCGCUGUGUGUGGCUCUCCAAGCAGUAGCGAGUUGGGCAUCUUGCAAGUUUAGACAGCGAAACGACCAUGGUCCCCCUGUUUCAAGGACCUCGAAGAAACUUCAAGUAAAAGAUACAGAAAGAGAGAGAGAGAGUAGGGGGAGAAACAGGCAAUAUGGAACACGAGUCGUAAAUGUGAGC
RNAcentral lists this long non-coding RNA (429 nucleotides) under Penaeus japonicus. Its description in RNAcentral is "uncharacterized LOC122254363". Lineage: Eukaryota; Metazoa; Arthropoda; Malacostraca; Decapoda; Penaeidae. The record is from RNAcentral.